Diaporthe citri is the source of this 88-nucleotide non-coding RNA. The record is from the annotation of a RefSeq genome assembly. NCBI's taxonomy places the organism in Eukaryota, Fungi, Ascomycota, Sordariomycetes, Diaporthales, Diaporthaceae.
GUCACGGUGGGCGAGUGGUCUAAGCCGUUUACCUCAUAAGUCAAUGCCUUCGGGCGCGAGAGUUCGAAUCUUUUUUACGCUUUUGGCU